UUUAUAGAUAUGCAAUACACAGAGAGCAAUUGGCCUGCAAUUUGAAACCUGACUCAGAACAAUAGUGUUUUUUUGUUGUUAUACCACAAAGACUUCAACCUUUACAGCCUAUUUACAAGAAAAUCUAUACAAGAGGGGAAUGGAGAGAAGUAGAAACAACAAACAAGGAAAUGGAACAGAUAUAAACUUACAAUCAUGUAGAAAGGAGAUGCAGCCAAGGCAAGAGGAAUGGCAACGGAGGUGACCUUGUCCAUUGGUCCUUUCAA
Molecule: long non-coding RNA, 266 nt
Filed under: Brassica napus (rape)
Lineage: Eukaryota; Viridiplantae; Streptophyta; Magnoliopsida; Brassicales; Brassicaceae
Description: long non-coding RNA (BNAP_LNC003775)
Source: RNAcentral